This is a ribosomal RNA of Myotis lucifugus (little brown bat), 119 nucleotides long. The record is from Ensembl. Lineage: Eukaryota; Metazoa; Chordata; Mammalia; Chiroptera; Vespertilionidae.
AUCUAUGGCCAUACCACCCUGAAUGUGUCUGAUUUUGUCUAAUCUUGGAAGCUAAACAGGGUCAGGCCUGGUUAGCACUUGGAUAGGAGACUCGUAAAAAUGCAAAUGAGAAAUUUAUU